AAUGGGCGAAAGCCUGACGGAGCAACGCCGCGUGAGGGAUGAAGGCCUCUGGGCUGUAAACCUCUUUUAUCAGGGAAGAAGAUCUGACGGUACUUGAUGAAUAAGCCACGGCUAAUUCCGUGCCAGCAGCCGCGGUAAUACGGGAGUGGCAAGCGUUAUCCGGAAUUAUUGGGCGUAAAGCGUCCGCAGGCGGCCCUUCAAGUCUGCUGUUAAAAAGUGGAGCUUAACUCCAUCAUGGCAGUGGAAACUGUUGGGCUUGAGUGUGGUAGGGGCAGAGGGAAUUCCCGGUGUAGCGGUGAAAUGCGUAGAUAUCGGGAAGAACACCAGUGGCGAAGGCGCUCUGCUGGGCCAUCACUGACGCUCAUGGACGAAAGCCAGGGGAGCGAAAGGGAUU
RNAcentral lists this ribosomal RNA (394 nucleotides) under uncultured Gammaproteobacteria bacterium. RNAcentral's name for it is "bacterial SSU rRNA". It matches the Rfam family "Bacterial small subunit ribosomal RNA", at positions 370 to 779 of the family's 1533-position model. The record is from RNAcentral. Lineage: Bacteria; Pseudomonadati; Pseudomonadota; Gammaproteobacteria.